This 207-nucleotide ribosomal RNA is filed under the name uncultured bacterium. RNAcentral describes it as "partial 16S ribosomal RNA". It matches the Rfam family "Bacterial small subunit ribosomal RNA", at positions 568 to 774 of the family's 1533-position model. The record is from RNAcentral.
UGCGUAGGCGGAUAAGUAAGUCAGUGGUGAAAUCUUCCGGCUCAACCGGGAAACUGCCAUUGAUACUGUUUAUCUUGAGUUCGGCAGAGGUAGGCGGAAUGUGUAAUGUAGCGGUGAAAUGCUUAGAUAUUACACAGAACACCGAUUGCGUAGGCAGCUUACUAUACCGACACUGACGCUGAGGCACGAAAGCGUGGGGAGCGAACA